RNAcentral lists this ribosomal RNA (713 nucleotides) under Psychrobacter sp. Y4_284_5. RNAcentral describes it as "bacterial SSU rRNA". It matches the Rfam family "Bacterial small subunit ribosomal RNA", at positions 55 to 761 of the family's 1533-position model. Lineage: Bacteria; Pseudomonadati; Pseudomonadota; Gammaproteobacteria; Moraxellales; Moraxellaceae. The record is from RNAcentral.
AUGCAAGUCGAGCGGUAACAUUUCUAGCUUGCUAGAAGAUGACGAGCGGCGGACGGGUGAGUAAUACUUAGGAAUCUACCUAGUAGUGGGGGAUAGCUCGGGGAAACUCGAAUUAAUACCGCAUACGACCUACGGGAGAAAGGGGGCAACUUGUUGCUCUCGCUAUUAGAUGAGCCUAAGUCGGAUUAGCUAGAUGGUGGGGUAAAGGCCUACCAUGGCGACGAUCUGUAGCUGGUCUGAGAGGAUGAUCAGCCACACCGGGACUGAGACACGGCCCGGACUCCUACGGGAGGCAGCAGUGGGGAAUAUUGGACAAUGGGGGAAACCCUGAUCCAGCCAUGCCGCGUGUGUGAAGAAGGCCUUUUGGUUGUAAAGCACUUUAAGCAGUGAAGAAGACUCUUCGGUUAAUACCCGGAGACGAUGACAUUAGCUGCAGAAUAAGCACCGGCUAACUCUGUGCCAGCAGCCGCGGUAAUACAGAGGGUGCAAGCGUUAAUCGGAAUUACUGGGCGUAAAGCGAGCGUAGGUGGCUUGAUAAGUCAGAUGUGAAAUCCCCGGGCUUAACCUGGGAACUGCAUCUGAUACUGUCAGGCUAGAGUAGGUGAGAGGAAGGUAGAAUUCCAGGUGUAGCGGUGAAAUGCGUAGAGAUCUGGAGGAAUACCGAUGGCGAAGGCAGCCUUCUGGCAUCAUACUGACACUGAGGCUCGAAAGCG